GUUUAUGUUUAUGUAAUUUAUACGUGUUUCUCAUUUCUUGUUUUUAUAUAUAUAGAUCAGAUCGUUGGUUUCCCCGUCUGAAUGGUUUUAUACUAAUAAUUUUUGGGGGCCUUUAAUAUAGCAUGUUGUUCGGUGUGAGCGUGUUGGCCGUACCUUGACCUAUAAUGGUUUACUUUUAUAAAUAGUGACUUUGAUGGAGAUUUG
Molecule: long non-coding RNA, 204 nt
Filed under: Mytilus galloprovincialis (Mediterranean mussel)
Lineage: Eukaryota; Metazoa; Mollusca; Bivalvia; Mytilida; Mytilidae
Source: RNAcentral